GAGGAAGAACGUAGCGAAAUGCGAUAAGUAGUGUGAAUUGCAGAAUUCAGUGAAUCAUCGAAUCUUUGAACGCACAUUGCGCCCCUUGGUAUCCCGAGGGGCAUGCCUGUUCGAGCGUCAUUUCACCACUCAAGCCUGGCUUGGUGUUGGGCGACGUCCCCUUUGGGGACGCGCCUCGAAACGCUCGGCGGCGUGGCACCGGCUUUAAGCGUAGCAGAAUCUUUCGCUUUGGAAGUCGGGGCCCCGUCUGCCGGAAGACCUACUCGCAAGGUUGACCUCGGAUCAGGCAGGGAUACCCGCUGAACUUAAGCAUAUCAAUAAGCGGAGGA
This 329-nucleotide unclassified non-coding RNA is filed under the name soil metagenome. RNAcentral's name for it is "partial contains 5.8S ribosomal RNA, internal transcribed spacer 2, and large subunit ribosomal RNA". The stretch from base 1 to 120 matches the Rfam family "5.8S ribosomal RNA", at positions 35 to 154 of the family's 154-position model. The record is from RNAcentral.